UACGGAGGGUGCAAGCGUUAUCCGGAUUUACUGGGUUUAAAGGGUGCUUAGGCGGGCAUGUAAGUCAGUGGUGAAAUACCGGAGCUUAACUUCGGAACUGCCAUUGAUACUAUAUGUCUUGAAUAUUGUGGAGGUAAGCGGAAUAUGUCAUGUAGCGGUGAAAUGCAUAGAUAUGACAUAGAACACCGAUUGCGGAGGAAGCUUGCGACGCAAAUACUGACGAUGAGGCACGAAAGCGUGGGGAGCAAACAGG
RNAcentral lists this ribosomal RNA (253 nucleotides) under uncultured bacterium. Its description in RNAcentral is "partial 16S ribosomal RNA". It matches the Rfam family "Bacterial small subunit ribosomal RNA", at positions 524 to 776 of the family's 1533-position model. The record is from RNAcentral.